Cucumis sativus (cucumber) is the source of this 1674-nucleotide long non-coding RNA. RefSeq lists it as uncharacterized. The record is from RefSeq and is a predicted model, not a curated record. NCBI's taxonomy places the organism in Eukaryota, Viridiplantae, Streptophyta, Magnoliopsida, Cucurbitales, Cucurbitaceae. The transcript is spliced from 2 exons.
CAGCUGAACUUGCCGAUGAAUCUCAGCCACCUUGUGCGGUAGCUCGUUGGAGAUCAAGCCCAUCAUGGUCUGUCUCCAUUCUUCGUUCAGAUUCAACUUCUAGUGUUUUCAUUUUCACUCCAAUUUUCUUUUUAUUUCUCUUCAAAUGCUUACAUUUUACCCACAAUAUUAAGGUAUUUUUAUCAAAGUUUCAUUAUUUCUAUUGUUUGUAUUUGUACCGUAUAUUAACUUCAAAUGCUUUCAUUUUACCCACAAUUUGAUAUAUUGAUGGUUCUUUUUAUGGAAAACAUCCCUCAUAGUUUUUCUUUUAUAGGAGAUACGUGUUUGUUUUGUCUACCAUCCUAUUUAAUAUUGUUCUUUACGAUCAUUUUUCUAAUGUGAAUCUACAUUUUUUCUUUAUGAUGGGCUAUGUGAUGAAGCAUUUUGGUAGCUUCCAAUGUGUUUGAUGAAAUGCCUCAAUGAAGCAUUUGGUUGAUUUUUAAUUGAUUUUUGUUUGUUCGAAUUAGGAAAUCAAGGCCAAAGGAGAUUUCGAGAUUUCAUGGCUAUGGGCUGAAGCUUUGAGAAAAAGAGAAUGAAAAACGAAAUGUGAGAUUUUAAACUUUGAUGAUGUGUAGGGUGUUUUUGUUUGUCUAUGCAUUUCCCAAGUGAACUUGAGUACUUUUGGUUUUUCUAUUGAUCUUUUGUUUAUGGUUACUAUUGAGUUGUAUAGUAAUUGCAUGAUAGUUAUAACAUAAACAAACUAUAUAUAUAAACUUGAACACAAGUGCUUAUUAUCUAACUCAUUACUAAAUUGUUGUAAUUUGGUUACUCUUGAUUUACUAAUGAUUGAAGAUUAAAAGAAGUUAUGAACAUUUUCACUAUGAGCAAGAAAUAAACUCUUUAUGUUGCUAAUGAACUUAUCUUGAUUUAUAGGAAGCUCUGAUAAAUCAUCAAUUUAAGCAAUUGUUUUGGCCUUGUUAUAGUUGUGAAUUCUAUUUGGUUUGUUAUCUAUUUGGUUUUUGACUUUAAGUUUUUUAAACUUAAGCCUAUACACGUUUUUUUUACCUCUACUUUUUAUUAAUGUUUUUAAAAUUAGGCCAAAUUAGUGUUUCUGAAAUGUCAUUAUUAUAUGUGCUAUAAGUCUUAAAGAAGUUACUCGUACAGAGAGAGAAGCAUUACAUGCUAGAAAACAAAGAUUCUAGUGACGCCCAUUAUAUAGUUCCAGACUUGGAGAGUUGGUUACACAGAAAGAAAAUUAGCAAAGACAGUGCAAGCGUUGGAGAUGAGCCCAUUUUUAAGGGGUCGUUUGAAACACAAAGGAAGAGACAAGAAUACGAAGGCUUUCUACCCUUUAUUUUGUAUUGGUAUGAUUGGGACGUGGUGCAAAUAGUGGAUAUAUGUACGUACGGUCUGUGCAAAGAAAAAAAAUUGCUUUCUCGUAUGUUGGUAAGCAAUGGUUUAUAUUAUUUAAACUAUAAUUUCUAUUGUCGUCGCUAUUGCUUAAACAACUGUGAAGAGAAAAGAAAAAAAAGGAAUGGGUAAAGUUAGCUUUCGUUGGCAUAAAUUGGGACUAUUAAGUUGGCGAGGCCAGAAGUGGAGGAGGACAUUAAAACAGUAAAACGAAUUAAACAAAAAAGGGUCCAUAUUGCAAAGUUGUAAUCAAUGAAGAUCAGUUCAAUUUUUAUUUAUAUUUUA